ACGUAUCCACGUAUAAACCAUUGUGAACUGUCUCUAUCACCUUUGUUGGUUAGUGAAUGAAGCCGAUGUGUUUUUCUCUCCGGAGUCCGCGUCGGUGGAGUUCAGUUUCCGCAAAGUGUAUUAACCUUAUAUUAACCAUUUUAACCCAAUCUUUAUAACUUUUUAUGAACUAAUUUUUAUUUUAUACUCUUCGGAGAUAAAAUUCAUUACGAAACAAAGAACAACUCUUAGCAACGGAUAUCUUGGUUCU
RNAcentral lists this unclassified non-coding RNA (250 nucleotides) under rhizosphere metagenome. RNAcentral's name for it is "partial ribosomal RNA internal transcribed spacer region". The record is from RNAcentral.